UUCGCCCUUUUCCGGUUGAUCCUGCCGGACCUGACUGCUAUCGGAUUGAUACUAAGCCAUGCGAGUCUUUGCAGUAAUGCAAGGCAUACGGCUCAGUAACACGUAUGCAACUUACCCUAUGGACGAGGAUAAUCUCGGGAAACUGAGCAUAAUACUCGAUAGAUCAUAAUGCCUGGAAUGGUUUAUGGUUGAAAUGAUUCGUCGCCAUAGGAUGGGACUGCGGCCUAUCAGCUUGUUGGUGAGGUAAUGGCCCACCAAGGCGAUUACAGGUACGGGCUCUGAGAGGAGAAGCCCGGAGAUGGGUACUGAGACAAGGACCCAGGCCCUAUGGGGCGCAGCAGGCGAGAAAACUUUGCAAUGUGCGAAAGCACGACAAGGUUAAUCCGAGUGAUUUCUGCUAAAGAAAUCUUUUGCAAGUCAUAAAACCACUAGUGAAUAAGGGGGGGGCAAGUUCUGGUGUCAGCCGCCGCGUUAAAACCAGCACCUCAAGU
This 491-nucleotide ribosomal RNA is filed under the name uncultured archaeon. Its description in RNAcentral is "bacterial SSU rRNA". It matches the Rfam family "Archaeal small subunit ribosomal RNA", at positions 1 to 489 of the family's 1478-position model. The record is from RNAcentral.